AGUGAACGCUGGCGGUAGGCCUAACACAUGCAAGUCGAACGGCAGCACAGUAAGAGCUUGCUCUUACGGGUGGCGAGUGGCGGACGGGUGAGGAAUACAUCGGAAUCUACUUUUUCGUGGGGGAUAACGUAGGGAAACUUACGCUAAUACCGCAUACGACCUACGGGUGAAAGCAGGGGAUCUUCGGACCUUGCGCGAUUGAAUGAGCCGAUGUCGGAUUAGCUAGUUGGCGGGGUAAAGGCACACCAAGGCGACGAUCCGUAGCUGGUCUGAGAGGAUGGUCAGACACACUGGAAGUGAGACAGGGUACAGACUCCUACGCGAGGCCGCAGUGGGGAAUAUUGGGCAAUGGGCGAAAGCCUGAUCCAGCCAUACCGCGUAGGUGAAGAAGGCCUUCGGGUUGUAAAGCCCUUUUGUUGGGAAAGAAAAGCAGCAGGUUAAUACCCCGCUGUUCUGACGGUACCCAGAGAAUAAGCACCGGCUAACUUCGUG
Molecule: ribosomal RNA, 492 nt
Filed under: uncultured bacterium
Lineage: Bacteria
Description: partial 16S ribosomal RNA
Rfam family: Bacterial small subunit ribosomal RNA
Source: RNAcentral